UUCCCCCUUCCCCCUUCCCUCCCUCUUGCUGGCCGCGAUAUCGAGGAGGAAAAAGAAGAAUCUUAUUGGUGCUGCGCAAUAAACUCUUCGAAAACACUCACAUCCUUGCAAAUGCGGUGAGGAACACCCCAUCCAUCAAUUUCCACUGGCUUUCCGUUCCUUUCCGCUCGACCCCACUCAAGUGUGGGGUCGGCAGAGCAUCGGAUUGCCUGUCUCAGAUAAUCAAAGCAAUGAUCAACGUGAAGGUGGCCCAGCAUCUUCAUGUCCACCUCAUCCCGUCGAUGUUGAUAGUUGUCUGUUUGAUUGAAAUAGGCCAUCCGAAUGCUUGCCUAUGAGCUGGAGAUCAGUAACUCAAAGAUUAUUAUUGUCAUUAUCAUUAUCAUCACCAUCGUCAUCAUCAUCACCAUUAUUUUUUCUUCAUAUAUUUUCAUGGGAUUGAGCUAAAACAUACCAAGCAAUGGAGCUGAUGGUACAUGCUGAUACCAAACCGCUCAAAACCUUUUCUAGAGGGAAUCCCCUCCUCGAGUCCGUAAUCCCGCGGAUUGUCUAGGACAAAUGAAUGUGUGAAACCAUUAAGAUGCUCCUUUUCCCAAUGUUUGUGGGUUAGGGCGUCCGAGCCAGACCAGCGGGGAUCCGGGUUGAAAACAACAGGCUCUUUCAGAAACGGUACUGCAAAAAAGAAAAAAGAAAAAAGAGAGACAGAAAAUUUUUCUCUCAGUAAGGCAACUCUCACGAAAAGCAUAAAGUCUCUAAACAUGCCACUCCAAAGGGCGUGGGAGAGGGUGAUACCUACAAGUUGGAAUAGGGGAUUUCCCCCGGUUGCCGUUGUCCAGAUGGUAGCGGCUCGAUCCGAUCAGGUAUGCUCCCCAAAGUGAAAUUAUAGCACAGAGAAUGACCGAAAAGAGAGCACAUCCUGAAAGGCCAUGAGGGAAAUAUCUCUUCUUCGGCUUCGUGGGGAAAGGGUCGGUUUUAAACAUCUUAAAUGACCUGGGCGCGUGGUAUAUUCAGCGCAAAUGGAUUAUUCAAAAAGAUGAUUGUUAGAGCUCAAAUAUGAAGGGUAUAGACUGCGCUUUAGAUAUACAUGUGUGAAACGGCAUUUCUGAAAGGAAAUCAAUUAGGAGCAAGCUUAGGAGGGGGGGCAUGAUGGGUUAGCUGGCGAGAGGAUUUGACUCCUACAUGUCUGGUCACAUUGAUUAGGCUUAUUUUGCUCGUA
This 1213-nucleotide small RNA is filed under the name Histoplasma capsulatum. Its description in RNAcentral is "hypothetical RNA". The record is from RNAcentral. Lineage: Eukaryota; Fungi; Ascomycota; Eurotiomycetes; Onygenales; Ajellomycetaceae. RNAcentral also lists the same sequence under 1 other name.